GGCUUCAUAGCUCAAUUGGUAAAGCAUCGCACCGGUAUCGACGAGGUCAUGGGUUUGAAUCUCGUUAUAGCCU
Non-coding RNA from Desmophyllum pertusum, 73 nucleotides. NCBI's taxonomy places the organism in Eukaryota, Metazoa, Cnidaria, Anthozoa, Scleractinia, Caryophylliidae. The record is from the annotation of a GenBank genome assembly.